UAGAUCAUCCUCUUUCCCCUCUGGUAAUGUAAUCUCUCUCUCUCUCUUUUUUUUUUUUUUUAAUUAGGCAUGUGGCCCUGUGGAAUAAAGCCUGCCUUUUCAACUGACCUGAUUGCUAGAUAUGGACAUGUGAUUCAAUCCUGGCUAAUGGGAUAGAGGUAGAAGUGGUGUAUACAACUUGCAGAAAGCAUCCCUAAAGUGCAAAGGCAAGUGAAACCGGACUCCGCACAAAAGAAGAGGGAAGACCUUAACUCAUCAUAUAGAUUCCAUCUCAUUUUUCCAGGCGACCCCAGUGGGCUUUGCCAGUGACAAAAUGCCAGAGAUGCUGUCUUUAUGUGACUGAAAACAUGCCUGCCAGCAGAUCCUGCUUAGCAACCCCAGGAGAAACAGCAUUCUUGAGCAUCUAGGUAUCAAACCUAGAGAAGGACUUUAUCUCUGCUUAGGUCACUUGUAAAUCCACUAAUCACUGCUAGUUCAAAUUAAACAAGUUCAAGUUCCAUGGCCACCUCUGCAGCAAGGGAGGCAAAGUCUGUAACUAAAGAAAGAGUCCUACAUCAAGAGUACAAGACAACAGAGGUAAAGACCAAGGAAUUACCUUUUUUCAAUCUUUAUCUGAGAACUAUCUCAAGUCAUAACCAACCAAAUGUGACACUGGAGGAGAGGGGAAUAAGCUGACAACCGAUUAAUAAACUGAGGCUGUGUGAAGGCGGU
Molecule: long non-coding RNA, 711 nt
Organism: Camelus dromedarius (Arabian camel)
Lineage: Eukaryota; Metazoa; Chordata; Mammalia; Artiodactyla; Camelidae
Exons: 3
Source: RefSeq, a predicted model, not a curated record